UUUAUGUUGCCUCUGUUCUUGAUCCAAGGAAGAAACUUGUAUUUGUGGAGUUUUGUUUGAGAAAAAUGUAUUCGAAUGAGCAGGCUUCAUCGAUUUUUGUGAGUUUGAAGAAAACAAUGGAAGAGUUGCUUAUUGAAUACCAAAAAAAUGUACAACCUCCUUUUGAGAAAGUUGGUGACAAUAGCCAAUCCCAAGUGAGCCAAAUUUUUGAAUUUGAUGAUGAUGUUGACUCUAGUGCU
Molecule: long non-coding RNA, 239 nt
Filed under: Theobroma cacao (cacao)
Lineage: Eukaryota; Viridiplantae; Streptophyta; Magnoliopsida; Malvales; Malvaceae
Description: long non-coding RNA (TCAC_LNC000575)
Source: RNAcentral